UACGGAGGGUGCGGGCGUUGUCCGGAAUCACUGGGCGUAAAGGGCGCGUAGGCGGCUUGGGAAGUCCGUGGUGAAAGCCCGAGGCUCAACUUCGGGUCGGCCAUGGAUACUCCUAAGCUCGAGUCGACUAGAGGCUAAUGGAAUUCCGGGUGUAGCGGUGGAAUGCGUAGAGAUCCGGAAGAACACCGGUGGCGAAGGCGGUUAGCUGGGGUCGGACUGACGCUGAGGCGCGACAGCGUGGGGAGCAA
This 248-nucleotide ribosomal RNA is filed under the name uncultured bacterium. RNAcentral describes it as "partial 16S ribosomal RNA". It matches the Rfam family "Bacterial small subunit ribosomal RNA", at positions 524 to 771 of the family's 1533-position model. The record is from RNAcentral.